GGUUCUAUAGUAUAAAUAAUUAUGUUAGAUUGCAAGUCUAAAGAUGUGUUAGACUAGAACUU
RNAcentral lists this transfer RNA (62 nucleotides) under Candidiopotamon okinawense. RNAcentral's name for it is "tRNA-Cys". The record is from RNAcentral. Lineage: Eukaryota; Metazoa; Arthropoda; Malacostraca; Decapoda; Potamidae.